This 907-nucleotide ribosomal RNA is filed under the name uncultured bacterium. Its description in RNAcentral is "bacterial SSU rRNA". It matches the Rfam family "Bacterial small subunit ribosomal RNA", at positions 33 to 932 of the family's 1533-position model. The record is from RNAcentral.
ACGCUAGCGAUAGGCUUAACACAUGCAAGUCGAGGGGCAGCAUGGUCUUAGCUUGCUAAGACUGAUGGCGACCGGCGCACGGGUGCGUAACGCGUAUGCAACUUGCCUCACAGAGGGGGAUAACCCGUCGAAAGACGGACUAAUACCGCGUACACUCCACUUUGGGCAUCCAAAGUAGAGGAAAUGAAAUUCGCUGUGAGAUAGGCAUGCGUCCCAUUAGCUAGUUGGUGAGGUAACGGCUCACCAAGGCGACGAUGGGUAGGGGAACUGAGAGGUUGAACCCCCACACUGGUACUGAGACACGGACCAGACUCCUACGGGAGGCAGCAGUGAGGAAUACUGGUCAAUGGGCGAGAGCCUGAACCAGCCAAGUCGCGUGAAGGAUGACUGUCUUAUGGAUUGUAAACUUCUUUUAUACGGGAAUAACAAGAGUCACGUGUGGCUCCCUGCAUGUACCGUAUGAAUAAGCAUCGGCUAACUCCGUGCCAGCAGCCGCGGUAAUACGGAGGAUGCGAGCGUUAUCCGGAUUUAUUGGGUUUAAAGGGUGCGUAGGCGGCCUGUUAAGUCAGCGGUGAAAUCUAGGAGCUUAACUCCUAAAUUGCCAUUGAUACUGGCGGGCUUGAGUGUAGAUGAGGUAGGCGGAGUGCGUGGUGUAGCGGUGGAAUGCAUAGAUAUCACGCAGAACUCCGAUUGCGAAGGCAGCUUACUAAGGUACAACUGACGCUGAAGCACGAAAGCGUGGGUAUCAAACAGGAUUAGAUACCCUGGUAGUCCACGCAGUAAACGAUGAUAACUGGGCGUAUGCGAUAUACAGUAUGCUCCUAAGCGAAAGCGUUAAGUUAUCCACCUGGGGAGUACGCCGGCAACGGUGAAACUCAAAGGAAUUGACGGGGGCCCGCACAAGCGG